Molecule: ribosomal RNA, 459 nt
Filed under: uncultured bacterium
Lineage: Bacteria
Description: partial 16S ribosomal RNA
Rfam family: Bacterial small subunit ribosomal RNA
Source: RNAcentral
CCUACGGGUGGCAGCAGUGAGGAAUAUUGGUCAAUGGGCGCGAGCCUGAACCAGACAAGUCGCGUGAGGGAAGACGGUCCUAUGGAUUGUAAACCUCUUUUGUCGGGGAGCAAAAGACGCCACGUGUGGCGUUCCGAGAGUACCCGAAGAAAAAGCAUCGGCUAACUCCGUGCCAGCAGCCGCGGGAAUACGGAGGAUGCGAGCGUUAUCCGGAUUUAUUGGGUUGAAAGGGUGCGCAGGCGGAAGAUCAAGUCAGCGGGAAAAUUGAGAGGCUCAACCUCUUCGAGCCGUUGAAACAUGUUUUCUGGAGUGAGCGAGAAGGAUGCGGAAUGCGUGGUGUAGCGGUGAAAUGCAUAGAUAUCACGCAGAACUACGAUUGCGAAGGCAGCAUACCGGCGCUCAACUGACGCUCAUGCACGAAAGUGUGGGUAUCGAACAGGAUUAGAUACCCCAGUAGUC